Molecule: small nucleolar RNA, 130 nt
Organism: Myotis lucifugus (little brown bat)
Lineage: Eukaryota; Metazoa; Chordata; Mammalia; Chiroptera; Vespertilionidae
Gene: SNORA63
Rfam family: Small nucleolar RNA SNORA63
About the family: E3 belongs to the H/ACA class of snoRNAs and is involved in the processing of eukaryotic pre-rRNA and has regions of complementarity to 18S rRNA.
Source: Ensembl
AAGCAGGAUCUAGUUACAAUGUAGCUGCGAAGUGCUGCAUUGUCUUUGCACUCUGCUCAAAAUAAAACUGUUUCCUUCCAAGCCCUGUGGCCCGGUGCUGUAGCCACCAGGGAUGUGUGGUCUCACACAU